Long non-coding RNA from Juglans regia (Persian walnut), 572 nucleotides. RefSeq lists it as uncharacterized. The record is from RefSeq and is a predicted model, not a curated record. The transcript has 2 exons. NCBI's taxonomy places the organism in Eukaryota, Viridiplantae, Streptophyta, Magnoliopsida, Fagales, Juglandaceae.
GUGCUGAACUCCUAUUUUCAGAUUUAUUGGCAAGUUAGUAGGUCGUUACUAUGACAGCCAUGGAAACCCAACAAAAUAUUUGAAAGGAGUUGAAGUGAAGGCUGCGAGAGGUGCACAGCUUUUGGAGAAACAGAAGAUUGAAGAAGCCAAACAACUCAGUUGCAAUUCGAGGUGGAGCCAGGACAGUGGAGGAGAGGUUUGGUGCGAUGUUGGCGUCCCAAGGUUAGUCCAGAGGCCACUGGAAAUUGCUUUGACUGGGAAGAUGAGUAAGCGCUGUGUUUGCUUUAAAGAGGAUCAACUGGACCAGCCAGGGCUGGAAGUUUAUGAUGGAUGUGACUUCCUUGCCAUGACUUGCCGAGUUUAAGUUAGGUUGUAAUGGUUUUACUAGCAGAGAUAAGGUUAAAUCUUUUCCUGAAUCUAUAAACAAGUCUUUCAUAGUUUUUUUUUUUUUUUUUUUUUUAAUAAAAAAAAAAGAAGGUAAAAAAUAUCAAAGACAUAAUAACACAAGAUUACAUCCUUAGGACAAUUUGUGACUACAUGAGCUCUACCUUUAAUUUUUUUCUUUAAAGCCA